GGCGAACGCUGGCGGCGUGCUUAACACAUGCAAGUCGAACGGAAAGGCCCUGCUUUUGUGGGGUGCUCGAGUGGCGAACGGGUGAGUAACAAGUGAGUAACCUGCCCUUGACUUUGGUAUAACUUCAGGAAACUGGGGCUAAUACCGGAUAGGAGCCCCUGCUGCUUGGUGGGGGUUGGAACGUUUCGGCUGUUGGGGAUGGACUCGCGGCUUAUCAGCUCGUUGGUGGGGUAGUGGCUUACCACGGCUUUGACGGGUAGCCGGCCUGAGCGGGUGACCGGCCACAUUGGGACUGAGAUACGGCCCAGACUCCUACGGGAGGCAGCAGUGGGGAAUAUUGCACAAUGGGCGGAAGCCUGAUGCAGCAACGCCGCGUGCGGGAUGACGGCCUUCGGGUUGUAAACCGCUUUCGCCUGUGACGAAGCGUGAGUGACGGUAAUGGGUAAAGAAGCACCGGCUAACUACGUG
This 468-nucleotide ribosomal RNA is filed under the name uncultured bacterium. RNAcentral's name for it is "partial 16S ribosomal RNA". It matches the Rfam family "Bacterial small subunit ribosomal RNA", at positions 28 to 507 of the family's 1533-position model. The record is from RNAcentral.